AGUGAACGCUGGCGGUAGGCCUGACACAUGCAAGUCGAACGGCAGCACAGGAGAGCUUGCGCUCUGGGUGGCGAGUGGCGGACGGAUGAGGAAUACAUCGGAAUCUACUUUUUCGUGGGGGAUAACGUAGGGAAACUUACGCUAAUACCGCAUAACACCUACGGGUGAAAGCAGGGGAUCUUCGGACCUUGCGCGAUUGAAUGAGCCGAUGUCGGAUUAGCUAGUUGGCGGGGUAAAGGCCCACCAAGGCGACGAUCCGUAGCUGGUCUGAGAGGAUGAUCAGCCACACUGGAAGUGAGACACGGUCCAGACUCCUACGGGAGGCAGCAGUGGGGAAUAUUGGACAAUGGGCGCAAGCCUGAUCCAGCCAUACCGCGUGGGUGAAGAAGGCCUUCGGGUUGUAAAGCCCUUUUGUUGGGAAAGAAAUCCGGCUGGCUAAUACCCGGUUGGGAUGACGGUACCCAAAGAAUAAGCACCGGCUAACUUCGUGCCAGCCGCCGCAGUAA
RNAcentral lists this ribosomal RNA (506 nucleotides) under uncultured bacterium. RNAcentral's name for it is "partial 16S ribosomal RNA". It matches the Rfam family "Bacterial small subunit ribosomal RNA", at positions 29 to 523 of the family's 1533-position model. The record is from RNAcentral.